ACUUUCAGCAACGGAUCUCUUGGCUCUCGCAUCGAUGAAGAACGCAGCAAAUUGCGAUAAGUAAUGUGAAUUGCAGAUUUUCAGUGAAUCAUCGAAUCUUUGAACGCACCUUGCGCUCCUUGGUAUUCCGAGGAGCAUGCCUGUUUGAGUGUCA
Molecule: ribosomal RNA, 154 nt
Filed under: Butyriboletus abieticola
Lineage: Eukaryota; Fungi; Basidiomycota; Agaricomycetes; Boletales; Boletaceae
Description: 5.8S ribosomal RNA
Rfam family: 5.8S ribosomal RNA
About the family: 5.8S ribosomal RNA (5.8S rRNA) is a component of the large subunit of the eukaryotic ribosome. It is transcribed by RNA polymerase I as part of the 45S precursor that also contains 18S and 28S rRNA. Functionally, it is thought that 5.8S rRNA may be involved in ribosome translocation.
Source: RNAcentral